Molecule: unclassified non-coding RNA, 380 nt
Filed under: soil metagenome
Description: partial contains 5.8S ribosomal RNA, internal transcribed spacer 2, and large subunit ribosomal RNA
Rfam family: 5.8S ribosomal RNA (bases 1-120)
Source: RNAcentral
GAUGAAGAACGUAGCGAAAUGCGAUAAGUAAUGUGAAUUCCAGAAUUCAGUGAAUCAUCGAAUCUUUGAACGCACCUUGCACCCUUUGGCAUUCUGAAGGGUAUGCUCGUUUGAGUGUCAUUGUACUCUCACACUCCCGAUCUUUGCAUUGGGAGCAGUGGACUUGGGUUUGCUGCUUCACCGUCGCUUACCUCAAAUAGGUUAGUGCAACUCUUGGUUGGACAUAGUACGGCGUGAUAAGUGUUCUUCGCCGGUGCCUCGCAAAGAGGGUGGCCGAUCGGGAUGUUGUGCUCCAAACCGUCUUCGGACAAUCUCUGACGACUUGACCUCAAAUCGAGUAAGACUACCCGCUGAACUUAAGCAUAUCAAUAAGCGGAGGA